GCGCCCGUAGCUCAGCGGAUAGAGCGAUGGCCUCCGGAGCCAGAGGUGGGAGGUUCGAAUCCUCUCGGGCGCG
Molecule: transfer RNA, 73 nt
Filed under: Nitrospirota bacterium
Lineage: Bacteria; Pseudomonadati; Nitrospirota
Description: Nitrospirae bacterium (hydrothermal vent metagenome) tRNA-Arg
Rfam family: tRNA
About the family: Transfer RNA (tRNA) molecules are approximately 80 nucleotides in length. Their secondary structure includes four short double-helical elements and three loops (D, anti-codon, and T loops). Further hydrogen bonds mediate the characteristic L-shaped molecular structure. tRNAs have two regions of fundamental functional importance: the anti-codon, which is responsible for specific mRNA codon recognition, and the 3' end, to which the tRNAs corresponding amino acid is attached (by aminoacyl-tRNA synthetases). tRNAs cope with the degeneracy of the genetic code in two manners: having more than one tRNA (with a specific anti-codon) for a particular amino acid; and 'wobble' base-pairing, i.e. permitting non-standard base-pairing at the 3rd anti-codon position.
Source: RNAcentral